This 3527-nucleotide long non-coding RNA is filed under the name Mus musculus (house mouse). Its description in RNAcentral is "long non-coding RNA chr18:38318978-38322505". Lineage: Eukaryota; Metazoa; Chordata; Mammalia; Rodentia; Muridae. The record is from RNAcentral.
UGCAGAGGUGGCUCAGCGGGUAAGAGGCUGCUCUUCCAGAGGUCCUGAGUUCAAUUCUCAGCAACCACAUGGUGGCUCACAACCAUCUGUAAUGGGGAUUUGAUGCCUUCUUCUGGUAUGUCUGAAGACAGCUACAGUGUACUCACAUACAUGAAAUAAAUUUAAAAAGAAAAAGAAAAAAGAGGUUUAUCCCUACCUCAGGAUCAAGGCCUGUUUGACAUAAGGUCUGAAACUUGCCAUAAAUUGACAUGAGUUUUGGGAGACCUUUUGAGUUUGGAGAGGCUCUGACUCCUGAUUUUUUUUUUUUUUUAACUGUAUAAUGCUUGUGGGUCUAGGGCUGAUUAAAGAAGAUAACUUUCCAAAUAACUUUUUUCUUGAAAUGUGGGCCAUCACUUUUUGUGACUUUGGCCUGCCUCUGUCAACUGAGAUGCAUAUUGUUUAAUCUAUUUAUAAAAAGAAACUUCAUUUUAGAUUCACGGAAAAGCUGCAGAGAUGAUGGUGUACGCUUAUAAUCUCAGUGCUGGGGAGGCGAGAUUGGGAGAGCAAGAGUUCAAGGCCAGCAGUAGCUACAGAGUGAGGGAGUUCCAGGCCAGUCUGGGCUACUUGAGAGCCUGUCUCAAAAACAGGGCGGGAAGUCGCGGCUACUGCAAAGUCUACUGGAAGUCGCCGCUACUGCAAAGAUGCUACUCAAGUCUUUUUAGAUCUCCUGUUUCCCUGUUGUUGAUACCGUGUGUUAGUAAUGUGGCACCGUCAAUGGCAGACACGAUUGUAGGCCACAUCUUGCACCAUUUUCUUAGUUCUUUCCUUGUUUAUGUUCUCUGUUCCAGGAUCUCAUAUCUCUGCAUAUCACAUUACACUUAGUCCCUUAUCUCCUUAGAUACCCCUUGGCUGUCAUAGUUGUCCCAUCCAUAUUUAUUGUAUAGAUAAAUAUCCAUUAUAUAUUGAUGCAUCUGGAUUGACCAGGGGCUGAAAGCUCUAAGCUCAGCAAGCCAAUGAAAUUAUAUUUUAUUAGUAGCUUUGAUAAAUUAGUUACCAUUCAGGACACUUCACUGGUUUUGUUUCCAGUUCUAGGUUGUUUACCUGUUACGGCCAUUUCCCUGCUCAGUUACCUGAAGGAAGAAAAAGCAUUUAAACACUGAACAAGUAAGUCAGAAUACACGCGAUCAGCCUAUUCCAGUCCCAGUUGGUGUGAAAACACAAGCCUGUCGUCUCGACUGGACCAGGAUGUGCGUGGCACAAAAAGUAUUCUGAAUUUGGUUUGUUGUUUGUAUUAUGUUUAUUGGAUUCCCAAAAUUACAGAGGAAUUCACACAUCAGCAUGUAAGACACAUGCUGAAGGUCCCCGCCCCUUGUUGGCUUUGAUUGGUAAAGUUUUCAGUGGCCAAUGGCUGGGCAGGGAGACAGAGGCGGAACUUUUAGGAUCACCAGGCAAGAAAUGCAUGAGAGAAAGGUUCGCCAUGUCAGGAAUGGGAUACGAUCUAGACUUGAGAGCGGCAGAAGAAACAGCAAACCAAUCACAUAAGAGCCAGGGAAGACUAGCCCCAGCCCACCCCAAAAUUGGGUCUAGGGUAGCAAAGAUGGAAUAAAGAUCUUAAUAACUCAAGAGUAUUGGAAGGGAGGUGUUAACAAUGCGAAAAUUCAGGAGUGGCUCAGUCAUUGAGUUGAUUAAUGAUUAAGGCCUUGAGGCAGGUAAUGAGGAACACCCCCACCCCACCACCACGGGGGGUGGUGUGAUGAGAGCAGAUUAAUCAACUACAGCAACAGAAAAACCUCCACCUGGCUAGCUAGAUCUGUAGCAUGGCCAGGAGGGUUGCUCUCCUCCUCCCUUCUUUUUUCUAAUUCUCUUUUGAGGCAGGGUCUCCAUGUGUAGCCCUGGCUGUCCUGGAACUCACUCUGUGGACCAGGCUGGCCUCGAACUCAAGAGAUCUGCCUGCCUCUGCCUCCCGAGUGCUGGGAUUAAAGGCGUGGACCACCACACCAGGGUUAAUUAAGGUCAUUUGUAGUUGUAGAAGGUUCUAGUUAACAUUUUAAGUCUCUUUAAUGUAUGUUUCUGCCAAGAGGGAAGGACUAGAGAAGAACCUUAAUGUAUUCAUAUCCUCAUUGCUUUAAAAGUGAAUGUCAAAAAAUUGACCAGAAAUUGCAUUUUCCAAGUACUGUUACUAACACUGCCAGCAGGUGUCAGCAGUUGCUAUGUUGUUAAAAAUAUUGCUGCUGGCCCUAAUCAGACCUCAAUGGGCUGAGCUAGAACCCAGGAAAUUCCAGUGGAGUCUGGGUGACAUACCAAGAACUGACUCAGAUAACAAAACAGAAACUUGUCAGCAUUCUGUGGCAAAAGCAGUUUUGUUGUUAUUUUGUUUUUUUAAGACAGGGUUUCUCUGUGCAGCCUUGUCUGUCUCCGCCACUCUGUAAAAGUGGCUGGCCUCAAACUCAAGAGGUCCACCAGCCUCUGCCUCCCAAAUGCUGGGAUUAAUGGUGUGAACCAUAACCACCUGACAGCAAAAGCAGUUUUAAUUUCUAGGAUUUUGAUUUUCUUUGGUAGAUUCAACAUGAUAAAUAACAGCAAGACAGGAAGGACAGUAUUGCUGAAAACUUUUAAAGGCACUCAGAGAUACAAUCUUGGUAUCUUACACAAUUUCUGUGUAACAAAGUGCCACACCUGACUGUCUUACUUAGUUAGCCUUAGACAUUGACAUAAGCAAUUAAGUUAUAUGUAAAGCUCCAGGUAGGUUGAAGAAACACUGUGGCGUCCACUGAUACUGUUGCCUAAAUUCAGCCUACUGAGGAUUUAUAGUAAGAAAACGGGUGAACUUUUGUGGGCCUGGAUACCAGAGGUUUUCCACGGAGAUCCAUCUGGCCAGGCCUGGUGUGAGGGUUUCUUCCAAGGCAAGUGAGUGCGGGCAGGAAAGCAAAGUCUCUGCCUGGAAGUGCCUUCCAGGUCGCUCAGUCGGGUUGGGCUGGGCCAACAAGAAGCUAUCCAGUGAGGAGUGUGGCAGAACCUCAGGUGGCACUUUGGGAGAGCAGAUCUUUUCCCAAGUGUUACAGCUCUUGGAACAAAAGACUCAAGACGACGGAGUAGUUCUCGCACACCUUUAAUUCCCUGGAUAGGAUUUAUAUACAGUUUUGGGGGUGAUUCAGGGUUCGACAGCAGGUACCUCUCAUUGGCUUGGUCUGAGAGCUUGGGGGGAACCUUAUUUGCAUGUGGGAAGGCUUGGUGCUGCUCCUAUGCAACUGAUAGCCACACACCUCUUCUACGGGGUCUUGUGGGGACUGUAACUUCGACAGGAGCCAGGGGCCCAGAAGACAUGAUUGAAAACCUUUCGUCCCAUGUAGGUAGAAAUCACCACCCAUCGGGUCCCUGGAGUUCCAGACCUUCCCUCGACUGGAGACCAGGCUGCCUGUGCGCAGCCCACUACCCCACAUACUUUCUUGGGGAAAUGUAUUUUGUUUUGUUUUGAGGCAUGGUCUCAUUAUGUAUAUAAAUAAUAGUCCUACUGUGGACUGUUGGGGCAUUCUAAAUGCUAAGAAGCC